Molecule: ribosomal RNA, 265 nt
Filed under: uncultured archaeon
Lineage: Archaea
Description: partial 16S ribosomal RNA
Rfam family: Archaeal small subunit ribosomal RNA
Source: RNAcentral
AGUCACUGACAUUAGAUACCCGUGUAGUCCAGGGUGUAAACGCUGCAGACUUGGUGUUGGAAGUCCUUUGGGGGCAUUCAGUGCCGGAGAGAAGUUGUUAAGUCUGCUACUUGGGGAGUACGUCCGCAAGGAUGAAACUUAAAGGAAUCGGCGGGGGAGCACCGCAACGGGAGGAGCGUGCGGUUUAAUUGGAUUCAACACCGUAAAACUCACCAGGGAAGACUGUUACAUGAAGGCCGAGAUGAAGACUCUGCUAGAUUUUCAG